Molecule: long non-coding RNA, 314 nt
Organism: Zea mays
Lineage: Eukaryota; Viridiplantae; Streptophyta; Magnoliopsida; Poales; Poaceae
Exons: 3
Source: RefSeq, a predicted model, not a curated record
UCUUGAUUCAGAUUCACUUCUAUUUGUUUCAGCUAUUGGAGAUGCUUCUGAAUAAUUGCGGAGAGCCUGUCCAUAGGCAGGUCAUUGAUAAUGGCCUUCUUCCAAUACUUGUGAAGAUAGUGAAGAAAAAGACGGAUUUACCAGUUCGAGAAAAAAUAUUUCUUUUGUUAGAUGCAACACAAACAUCCCUUGGUGGAGCUAAAGCAAGGUUCCCUCAGUACUAUGAAGCAUACUAUGAGUUGGUGUCUGCUGGUGUGCAAUUUUCAAAUCGACCAAAUGUUCUUGUCACACGAGCAGAAGUGCCAGUCCCAAAA